RNAcentral lists this ribosomal RNA (280 nucleotides) under uncultured bacterium. RNAcentral describes it as "partial 16S ribosomal RNA". It matches the Rfam family "Bacterial small subunit ribosomal RNA", at positions 321 to 593 of the family's 1533-position model. The record is from RNAcentral.
GAGACACGGUCCAGACUCCUACGGGAGGCAGCAGUGGGGAAUAUUGCACAAUGGGCGCAAGCCUGAUGCAGCCAUGCCGCGUGUAUGAAGAAGGCCUUCGGGUUGUAAAGUACUUUCAGUCGUGAGGAAGGCGGCGUCGUUAAUAGCGGCGUUGUUUGACGUUAGCGACAGAAGAAGCACCGGCUAACUCCGUGCCAGCAGCCGCGGUAAUACGGAGGGUGCGAGCGUUAAUCGGAAUUACUGGGCGUAAAGCGCAUGCAGGUGGUUUGUUAAGUCAGAU